This 451-nucleotide ribosomal RNA is filed under the name uncultured bacterium. RNAcentral's name for it is "bacterial SSU rRNA". It matches the Rfam family "Bacterial small subunit ribosomal RNA", at positions 354 to 796 of the family's 1533-position model. The record is from RNAcentral.
GUGAGGAAUAUUGCGCAAUGGGGGCAACCCUGACGCAGCGAUGCCGCGUGGGUGAAGAAGGCCUUCGGGUCGUAAAGCCCUGUCAGGCGGGAAGAAUGGCUCCCGGGUUAACAGCCGGGGAGUUUGACGGUACCGCCGAAGGAAGCACCGGCUAACUCCGUGCCAGCAGCCGCGGUAAGACGGAGGGUGCAAGCGUUAUUCGGAAUUAUUGGGCGUAAAGGGCGUGCAGGCGGCGGAUCAAGUCAGAGGUGAAAGCCCAGGGCUCAACCCUGGAAGUGCCUCUGAUACUGGUUCGCUUGAGUUCGGGAGAGGGAAGCGGAAUUCCGGGUGUAGAGGUGAAAUUCGUAGAUAUCCGGAGGAACACCGGUGGCGAAGGCGGCUUCCUGGACCGAAACUGACGCUGAGACGCGAAAGCGUGGGGAGCAAACAGGAUUAGAAACCCUGGUAGUCC